AGGGUUUGAUUAUGGCUCAGAACGUACGCUGGCGGCACGCCUAACACAUGCAAGUCGAACGAAGUAGCAAUACUUAGUGGCAGACGGGUGAGUAACAUGUAGGUAUCUACCCUUUGGCCUGGAAUAACACGAGGAAACUUGUGCUAAUACCAGAUAAGUCUUUACGGAGAAAGCUUUAUGCACCAUUGGAUGAGCCUGCACUUGAUUAGUUUGUUGGUGGGGUAAUGGCCUACCAAGACUGUGAUCAAUAGCUGAUUUGAGAGGAUGAUCAGCCACAUUGGGACUGAGACACGGCCCAAACUCCUACGGGAGGCAGCAGUGGGGAAUCUUGCACAAUGGAGGAAACUCUGAUGCAGCGAUGCCGCGUGAGUGAAGAAGGCCUUUGGGUUGUAAAGCUCUUUCGUCGGGGAAGAAAAUGACUGUACCCGAAUAAGAAGGUCCGGCUAACUUCGUGCCAGCCGCCGCGGUAAUAC
Molecule: ribosomal RNA, 473 nt
Filed under: uncultured bacterium
Lineage: Bacteria
Description: bacterial SSU rRNA
Rfam family: Bacterial small subunit ribosomal RNA
Source: RNAcentral